Molecule: unclassified non-coding RNA, 336 nt
Filed under: soil metagenome
Description: partial contains 5.8S ribosomal RNA, internal transcribed spacer 2, and large subunit ribosomal RNA
Rfam family: 5.8S ribosomal RNA (bases 1-120)
Source: RNAcentral
GAUGAAGAACGUAGCGAAAUGCGAUAAGUAAUGUGAAUUGCAGAAUUCAGUGAAUCAUCGAAUCUUUGAACGCACAUUGCGCCCGCCAGUAUUCUGGCGGGCAUGCCUGUUCGAGCGUCGUUUCAACCAUCAAGCCCCCGGCUUGUGUUGGGGACCUGCGGCUGCCGCAGGCCCUGAAAACCAGUGGCGGGCUCGCUGUCACACCGAGCGUAGUAGAUUUUCAUCUCGCUCAGGGCGUGCUGCGGGUUCCGGCCGUAAAAAGCCUUAUUUACCCAAGGUUGACCUCGGAUCAGGUAGGAAGACCCGCUGAACUUAAGCAUAUCAAUAAGCGGAGGA